This 406-nucleotide ribosomal RNA is filed under the name uncultured bacterium. RNAcentral's name for it is "partial 16S ribosomal RNA". It matches the Rfam family "Bacterial small subunit ribosomal RNA", at positions 29 to 526 of the family's 1533-position model. The record is from RNAcentral.
AUUGAACGCUGGCGGCAGGCCUAACACAUGCAAGUCGAGCGAGCGGCGGACGGGUGAGUAAUGUCUGGGAAACUGCCUGAGGGAGGGGGAUAACUACUGGAGACGGUAGCUCAUACCGCAUACCAUCAGAUGUGCCCAGGUGGGAUUAGCUAGUAGGGGAGGUAACGGCCCACCUAGGCGACGAUCCCUAGCUGGUCUGAGAGGAUGACCAGCCACACUGGAACUGAGACACGGUCCAGACUCCUACGGGAGGCAGCAGUGGGGAAUAUUGCACAAUGGGCGAAAGCCUGAUGCAGCCAGGCCGCGUGUGUGAAGAAGGCCUUCGGGUUGUAAAGCACUUGCAGCGGGGAGGCGUUACCCGCAGAAGAAGCACCGGCUAACUCCGUGCCAGCCGCCGCGGUAAUUC